UACGGAGGGUGCAAGCGUUAUCCGGAUUCACUGGGUUUAAAGGGUGCGUAGGUGGGCUGGUAAGUCGGGUGUGAAACCUCCAGGCUCAACCUGGAGACGCCACCCGAUACUGUCGUGACUAGAGUCCAGUAGGGGAGCGUGGAAUUCCUGGUGUAGCGGUGAAAUGCGCAGAUAUCAGGAGGAACACCAGCGGCGAAGGCGGCGCUCUGGGCUGGCACUGACACUGAGGAGCGAAAGCGUGGGGAGCGAACAGG
Molecule: ribosomal RNA, 254 nt
Filed under: uncultured bacterium
Lineage: Bacteria
Description: partial 16S ribosomal RNA
Rfam family: Bacterial small subunit ribosomal RNA
Source: RNAcentral